Molecule: ribosomal RNA, 207 nt
Filed under: uncultured bacterium
Lineage: Bacteria
Description: partial 16S ribosomal RNA
Rfam family: Bacterial small subunit ribosomal RNA
Source: RNAcentral
CGUGCAGGCGGUUUUGUAAGUUGGAGGUUAAAUCUCUCGGCUUAACUGAGAGGCGUCCUUCAAAACUGCAGGGCUUGAGGAUGGGAGAGGGAAGUGGAAUUCCCGGUGUAGUGGUGGAAUGCGUAGAGAUCGGGAGGAACACCAGUGGCGAAGGCGGCUUCCUGGCCCAUACCUGACGCUAAGACGCGAAAGCGUGGGGAGCGAACG